AACGAGCGCUGGCGGCGUGCUUAACACAUGCAAGUCGAACGGAAAGGCCCUGCUUUUGUGGGGUGCUCGAGUUGCCAACGGGUGAGUAACACGUGAGUAACCUGCCCUUGACUUUGGGAUAACUUCAGGAAACUUGGGCUAAUACCGGCUAGGAGCUCCUGCUGCAUGGUGGGGGUUGGAAAGUUUCGGCGGUUGGGGAUGGACUCGCGGCUUAUCAGCUUGUUGGUGGGGUAGUGUCUUACCAAGGCUUUGACCGGUAGCCGGCCUGAGAGGGUGACCGGCUAAAUUGGGACGGGGAUACGGCCCAGCCUCCUACGGGACGCAGCAGUGGGGUAUAUUGCACUAUGGGCGGAAGCCUGAUGCAGCACAGCCGCGUGGGGGAUGACGGCCAUCGGGUUGUAAACUGAUUCCGCCUGUGACGAAGCGUGAGUGACGGUAAUGGGUAAAGAAGCACCGGCUAACUCCGUG
This 468-nucleotide ribosomal RNA is filed under the name uncultured bacterium. RNAcentral's name for it is "partial 16S ribosomal RNA". It matches the Rfam family "Bacterial small subunit ribosomal RNA", at positions 28 to 507 of the family's 1533-position model. The record is from RNAcentral.